CAAAGGAAUUGACGGGGCCCGCACAAGCGGAGGAGCAUGUGGUUUAAUUCGAUGAUACGCGAGGAACCUUACCUGGGCUCGAACGUAAGAUGACUGUAGGUGAAAGCUUACAUCUCUUCGGAGCAUUUUACGAGGUGCUGCAUGGUUGUCGUCAGCUCGUGCCGUGAGGUGUCGGGUUAAGUCCCAUAACGAGCGCAACCCCUACCUUUAGUUGCCAUCAGGUUAAGCUGGGGACUCUAAAGGAACUGCCUACGCAAGUAGUGAGGAAGGCGGGGAUGACGUCAAAUCAGCACGGCCCUUACGUCCAGGGCUACACACGUGCUACAAUGGCCGAUACAGAGGGCAGCUACCUGGUGACAGGAUGCAAAUCUCCAAAGUCGGUCUCAGUUCGGAUCGGAGUCUGCAACCCGACUCCGUGAAGUUGGAUUCGCUAGUAAUCGCGCAUCAGCCAUGGCGCGGUGAAUACGUUCCCGGGCCUU
This 479-nucleotide ribosomal RNA is filed under the name uncultured Sphingobacteriales bacterium. RNAcentral's name for it is "bacterial SSU rRNA". It matches the Rfam family "Bacterial small subunit ribosomal RNA", at positions 902 to 1382 of the family's 1533-position model. The record is from RNAcentral. Lineage: Bacteria; Pseudomonadati; Bacteroidota; Sphingobacteriia; Sphingobacteriales.